This 301-nucleotide ribosomal RNA is filed under the name uncultured bacterium. RNAcentral describes it as "partial 16S ribosomal RNA". It matches the Rfam family "Bacterial small subunit ribosomal RNA", at positions 509 to 807 of the family's 1533-position model. The record is from RNAcentral.
CAGUCGCCACGGGAAUACGGAGGGUGCAAGCGUUAAUCGGAUUUACUGGGCGUAAAGCGUGCGUAGGCGGCUUCUUAAGUCGGAUGUGAAAUCCCUGAGCUUAACUUAGGAAUUGCAUUCGAUACUGGGAAGCUAGAGUAUGGGAGAGGAUGGUAGAAUUCCAGGUGUAGCGGUGAAAUGCGUAGAGAUCUGGAGGAAUACCGAUGGCGAAGGCAGCCAUCUGGCCUAAUACUGACGCUGAGGUACGAAAGCAUGGGGAGCAAACAGGAUUAGAUACCCCAGUAGUCCCUGUCUCUUAUAC